Molecule: ribosomal RNA, 539 nt
Filed under: Entamoeba sp.
Lineage: Eukaryota; Evosea; Mastigamoebida; Endamoebidae
Description: bacterial SSU rRNA
Rfam family: Eukaryotic small subunit ribosomal RNA
Source: RNAcentral
UGCAUGUGAAAGUAUAAAGUCCAAGAAGGAUGAAACUGCGAACGGCUCAUUAGAACAGUUAUAGUUUCUUCGAAUAGUAAGUACAAGGAUAGCUUUGUGAAUGAUAAAGAUAAUACUUGAGACGAUCUUGGAUGUAGAGACACAUUCAGGCCUUUGCAUCAUAAAAUGGUGUGAAGAGAAAGGAUAUCCAAACUGAAAGUGGGUAUCAUGACAAUUGUAGAAUAGCGAUAUUUAACAAGUAAUCGAUGAGAAUAUCUGAUCUAUCAACUAGUUGGUAGUAUCGAGGACUACGAAGGUUAUAACGGAUAACGAGGAAUUAGGGUUUGAUAUCGGAGAGGGAGCUUUCAAGAUGGCUACCACUUCCAAGGAAGGCAGCAGCCGCGUAAAUUACCCAAUUACAACAGAUAGAAGAGGUAGUGACGACAAAUAACUCACGACAUGCGUAAGCAUGUCUUGAAGGAAUGAGUAAGAAGCAAAGAGUCUUACGAAAUCAAUUGGAGGGCAAGUCUGGUGCCAGCAGCCGCGGUAAUUCCAGCUCC